GAUUAUCGUGGAUUGAAUGAAGUAAUGAUCAAGAGCAAGUACCCACUGCCGAUGAUCAAUGAUUUGUUUGAUCAGCUGCAAGGAGCUAAGGUGUUUUCUAAGAUCGAUCUGCGAUCAGGGUACCACCAGCUGAAGAUUCGAGAGCAGGGUAUACCUAAGACAUCUUUUACCACAAGGUACAGGCUAUAUGAGUAUACCGUUGUGUCAUUUGGCCUGACUAACGCACCUGCCUAUUUUAUGAACAUGAUGAACAAGGUGUUUAUGGAGUUUUUGGAUAAGUUCAUUGUGGUGUUCAUUGAUGAUAUUUUGGUCUACUCGAAGAAUGAAGAAGAGCAUAAAGAGCAUUUGUGUUUAGUACUUGGGAAGCUCAUAGAACAUCAGCUAUACGCCAAG
Molecule: ribosomal RNA, 393 nt
Filed under: Triticum aestivum (bread wheat)
Lineage: Eukaryota; Viridiplantae; Streptophyta; Magnoliopsida; Poales; Poaceae
Description: partial small subunit ribosomal RNA
Source: RNAcentral